Molecule: non-coding RNA, 104 nt
Organism: Peromyscus maniculatus bairdii (prairie deer mouse)
Lineage: Eukaryota; Metazoa; Chordata; Mammalia; Rodentia; Cricetidae
Source: RefSeq, a predicted model, not a curated record
UUCAGAGGUGUGCUCUUCUAGUCUCAUUUGUUAUCGGAAUUAACCAGACAAAUCACUCCACCAACUAAGAACGGCCAUGUACCAAAUAAAAUAUCACCAUAAAG